CCUACGGGUGGCUGCAGUCGAGAAUCAUUCACAAUGGGGGAAACCCUGAUAGUGCGACGCCGCGUGGGGGAAUGAAGGUCUUCGGAUUGUAAACCCCUGUCAUGUGGGAGCAAAUUAAAAAGAUAGUACCACAAGAGGAAGAGACGGCUAACUCUGUGCCAGCAGCCGCGGUAAUACAGAGGUCUCAAGCGUUGUUCGGAAUCACUGGGCGUAAAGCGUGCGUAGGCUGUUUCGUAAGUCGUGUGUGAAAGGCGCGGGCUCAACCCGCGGACGGCACAGGAUACUGCGAGACGAGAGUAAUGGAGGGGGAAGCGGAAUUCCCGGUGUAGCAGUGAAAUGCGUAGAUAUCGGGAGGAACACUCGUGGCGAAGGCAUCUCACGGAUCCGCGAUUGACGCUGAUGCACGAAAGCGUGGGUAGCAAACAGGAUUAGAUACCCUUGUAGUC
RNAcentral lists this ribosomal RNA (446 nucleotides) under uncultured bacterium. RNAcentral's name for it is "partial 16S ribosomal RNA". It matches the Rfam family "Bacterial small subunit ribosomal RNA", at positions 338 to 795 of the family's 1533-position model. The record is from RNAcentral.